Molecule: transfer RNA, 62 nt
Filed under: Ashinkailepas seepiophila
Lineage: Eukaryota; Metazoa; Arthropoda; Thecostraca; Neolepadidae
Also listed under: 1 other name
Description: tRNA-Arg
Source: RNAcentral
UAAUGAAAAGCGAAACUUGCAAUCGGUUUCGACCCGAUAUUUGGUCACAAGACCUUCAUUUU